CCUGCACUGUCCCUGUUGCAGUAGAUAUUCAGUUCGGAAUGACUUUCUUUGUGGUUGUUGUUCUUUUUUAGUCUCACCUUCUCAGUACCUCAUCUCUCUCACAUGCAACAGGAUGCUGAUUAAAAGUUGCCCUGCAUUGCUCUGUUUACCUGACGCCCGACCUUCUCAUCAGGUAGCUGUUUUGUAAAGCAGAAUACUGCAAGGUUUUAUUUUUUAAAUUGUAGCAUCAUGAUGAGUGUUUUGAAGAAAAUGAUAGAAAAAGAGAUUUACAGACUGGCAUGACUUCUUUAAAAUGUUUGGGAUAGAAGCCACAGUUAUGACGUAUACAAUUCAAAGACAGAUAUUUUGUUUGUUAUCUAAACUAAAGAUGUGUGCUGAGGUCUUAUAUGUAGUAUGGUUAUUAUUCAUCUGAUUAAUUGCAAUUUAUGAUUUAGGGCUUACUAAUAUUAUGAACAGCAGCUACGCUAAUUCCUUUCCACUUGUUUUCCUUCUUCUACCCAUCCUGAGGCACAUAGAGAUUGUGCUAGCUCCAGUAGACAGAGACCAACCCUACGAGGAUCCUGAGGCAUCCAGAGAUGGACCUGCUCCAGCUGGUUUCUGCCUCGUGAGGAUUUGGGUGUUCAAAGCAACGCUGCCAACUCUAUGUGGACUUUGAGGAAGACAACAACCUACAUGACUAUAAAUAAAUACAGAAAGGACAUUGUUCAUAUCACACUCUCCAGUGUCACCCAAAUGAGGAUGGGUUCCCUUUUGAGUCUGGUUCCUCUCAAGGUUUCUUCCUCAUAUCAUCUCAGGGAGUUUUUCCUUGCCACAGUCGCCUCAGUCGCCUCAGGCUUGCUCACUAGGGAUAAUUCUGUCUAACAUCUAGGACUGUUUGCAUGUUUUUGUUUCUGUUUGCAUGCUUUUUGUCUCUUAUGUUCUGUAAAGCUGCUUUGAGACAAUGUUCAUUGUUAAAAGCGCUAUACAAAUAAAAUUGAAUUGAAUUGAAUUAAACAGCUGUAAGAACCA
Long non-coding RNA from Pangasianodon hypophthalmus (striped catfish), 1008 nucleotides. RefSeq lists it as uncharacterized. Lineage: Eukaryota; Metazoa; Chordata; Actinopteri; Siluriformes; Pangasiidae. The record is from RefSeq and is a predicted model, not a curated record. The transcript is spliced from 2 exons.